UACGAAGGGGCUAGCGUUGCUCGGAAUUACUGGGCGUAAAGCGCACGUAGGCGGCUUGUUAAGUCGGAGGUGAAAUCCUGGAGCUCAACUCCAGAACUGCCUUCGAUACUGGCGAGCUCGAGUCCGGAGAGGUGAGUGGAACUGCGAGUGUAGAGGUGAAAUUCGUAGAUAUUCGCAAGAACACCAGUGGCGAAGGCGGCUCACUGGCCCGGUACUGACGCUGAGGUGCGAAAGCGUGGGAGCAAACAGG
Molecule: ribosomal RNA, 250 nt
Filed under: uncultured bacterium
Lineage: Bacteria
Description: partial 16S ribosomal RNA
Rfam family: Bacterial small subunit ribosomal RNA
Source: RNAcentral